This 783-nucleotide ribosomal RNA is filed under the name Procambarus blandingii. RNAcentral describes it as "partial 28S ribosomal RNA". The stretch from base 308 to 783 matches the Rfam family "Eukaryotic large subunit ribosomal RNA", at positions 665 to 926 of the family's 3401-position model. The record is from RNAcentral. Lineage: Eukaryota; Metazoa; Arthropoda; Malacostraca; Decapoda; Cambaridae.
GGGGACGUAACAAAGCGACCCAGGAAUACUUGGGCGUGCCUCCACCCACGCCGGCGUCGGCGGGCGUAUUUCGCCUCACAGUAGGUCGCCGCGACCCGUUGCUUUUGGGGACGUCGAAGGCCCGGACGGAUUGGUACCCUACCGGCUGGGGAUGCGGCUUCGGCUUCUCCUCUUGUCCGGUGGGCGAAACCGCCGGUGUCCUGGCUGCCCUGCGACGGUCGUAGAGACGAGCCCCUCCCAUUCGUGGGGGGCGGCUCUCGCGGCGUGCAAAAGGUCGGUGAUCCACCCGACCCGUCUUGAAACACGGACCAAGGAGUCUAACAUGUGUGCGAGUCAGUGGGCGCACUAAACCCAGAGGCGUAAUGAAAGUGACACGGGUUCGGCUGUCGCCUCGUGUGGCAGCCGGACUCAGGGCCGAUCCCUCACCGGUUGCCCUCGCCUCUCUCCCGCGUCUCGGUAAGCCGGGUGAGCUAUUUUCCCCGGCCGCUGCUGCGGGGCUCGGGGGAAGGCGGGGUGCGAUGGUGUCCGUAAAAAAGAGCCUGCUGUUGCAGGGGGGCGCAGGCCCGGGACUUGCCAGGACGCCGCGAGACUGUCACUUUGCUGUGAGGCUCCAGGGCCGAUCAGCGGGUCAUGCGUGCAGUCGGCAAGUACCAUGAGCAGACAUGUUGGGACCCGAAAGAUGGUGAACUAUGCCUGGCCAGGAUGAAGCCAGAGGAAACUCUGGUGGAGGUCCGUAGCGAUUCUGACGUGCAAAUCGAUCGUCGGAGCUGGGUAUAGGGGCGA